Molecule: unclassified non-coding RNA, 494 nt
Filed under: Melitaea cinxia (Glanville fritillary)
Lineage: Eukaryota; Metazoa; Arthropoda; Insecta; Lepidoptera; Nymphalidae
Description: misc RNA ENSMCXG00005000792.1
Source: RNAcentral
CACCCACUGCAAUUCAUUUUCAAAACGCAGAUGUUGCUGGUCUCCUCGCUGCAAUCCAGCGCUUACAGAUGGGACUGUACAAGGUAAAUGUUCAUCUCACCUCCACUCACUCUCACCCAGAAUGUUUCUCAGUUAAGAAUGUCUCAGAAUGUUUUUCGUUUUACGCUAUUUUUACUGAGCACAUAUACAUCCCGAAUGGGAAUGAAACCCGCGACUGCUGCCGUUGAGGUGAGGCUGAGGCGGUUGAGGAGUUUUUGUUAGGUUACAGGAUGUUGAAUUAACAUUAAAUGUUGCAGUAAAAAGUAGGAAAAAAGACAGUUGAGAGUGGUACAGAUGUUUUUUGUCCCAAUUAGAAAGUAUGCAGAAAUGAUUGAGAAUGUUUAUGAUGAGACUUAAACUAAAACACAACCUGCAAACAUAAGUUUCUUCGUUCCUUCAAAACGUGUCUACCACACAAUAUCAGUGAAGGCCAGCUGUCUAAUGCAGGCUUACAA